GCUCUGCUGGCGCAAUGGUAGCGCGCAAGACUUCUACAUCCGCUUUGGUUUGAAGGUCAAUCUUGAGGUUGCGGGUUCGAGUCCCGCGUGGAGCU
RNAcentral lists this transfer RNA (95 nucleotides) under Terfezia boudieri ATCC MYA-4762. It matches the Rfam family "tRNA". Rfam says of the family: Transfer RNA (tRNA) molecules are approximately 80 nucleotides in length. Their secondary structure includes four short double-helical elements and three loops (D, anti-codon, and T loops). Further hydrogen bonds mediate the characteristic L-shaped molecular structure. tRNAs have two regions of fundamental functional importance: the anti-codon, which is responsible for specific mRNA codon recognition, and the 3' end, to which the tRNAs corresponding amino acid is attached (by aminoacyl-tRNA synthetases). tRNAs cope with the degeneracy of the genetic code in two manners: having more than one tRNA (with a specific anti-codon) for a particular amino acid; and 'wobble' base-pairing, i.e. permitting non-standard base-pairing at the 3rd anti-codon position. The record is from Rfam by way of RNAcentral. Lineage: Eukaryota; Fungi; Ascomycota; Pezizomycetes; Pezizales; Pezizaceae.